AUAAAUGCAAUAAUAAACACAAUGGUAUACAAAUACUUCUUGUGACCAUCGAACAUCAUUUCUCAACUUAAACUCCUAAAAUUCUUGAUAACUGAAUUUAAAUUCCUCAAUUGCAAUAAUAUAAUCAAUAACAAUUGACAGUACAACAAAAUUUGUAUCAGAUUGCAAGACACAGAACUCGAAAAACAUCCCUUCGCUUCUUUUCUCCCUCGAUCUAAACAUUCAAUCACAUCUUUAUUCUGUCCAGCCCAAUUCCCUUUAUCUCUUCACCUUGUAUCAAUUCACCCCCGUUCCACCCUAUGUUCUUUUUCUUUUUUUUCUUUCAGCCACUCUUCGACUACUUUAUCAAUCAAUUCCAGGCUCGUUUAAUGCGUACACGUCGAUGAAUCGUCGAGGCGACGUACAGACAGGCGGGCAGACGUAGUCUUACAUGCGGUCCGCUUGCACAUGCACGCUUUGGCGGCUUUAUGGAGAGCAGACACAGAGGAGAGGCCGCACGUCCUGACCGCGCGCGAGCAUGGUCGCGCGAUAAUCCUGUGAUGGAUGUCCCUAGGUAGUCGGUAAGCCCUGCCAGCCAAGCUGCUCGCCACGUCGGUGUGUUUACCCAGACGGAAGCCGUCUGGCGGCGAUAGGAGGACCGACCUAUCGCGUGCGGUGUGUGCGGGCGAUACGUCGCUUCUACUUCGACUACCACUAGGAUAUGCACCUCCGACGAGACGGCGUUUCAACAACGUAUCUAGCCAGCGAAUAAUCGCGGCGGCGGCAGACCUCGCACCGAGAGCGGGGGCAGCUCCUUUUUUUCCGAUCCUCCGAUCUGAUUGAUCGCGACGAUCACCCGCGCGAUGGAAAGCACCGACGGGUACACGUCGUUUAACGUCACCCCUUCUGGGAGGUGGAUACGUUGACGGCAAGCUAAUUUGUGGAGAUGUUCUUCGGCAAAGAAAACGGAUGCAUGAUGGGUAUUAGGCAUGGUGUGGUUCGGGUUGCUUGUUGAUAUAAAAGAUGCGAGAUAACAGUAAUGUCAGGAAAAUCUGCCAUUUAACUUGUGUGGUCGAUUGGAGAAUGUACACGACAUUUAAAUCUAUAUGAAUUUAUUUUUGAUACGAUGGAAGUUGUAAGUGUAUAUAAGAAGAUAUAA
This 1138-nucleotide unclassified non-coding RNA is filed under the name Bombus terrestris (buff-tailed bumblebee). Its description in RNAcentral is "misc RNA ENSBTSG00005026359.1". The record is from RNAcentral. Lineage: Eukaryota; Metazoa; Arthropoda; Insecta; Hymenoptera; Apidae.